AAGAAAGUAAGAAAGGGCGUAUGGCGGAUGCCUAGGCUCACGGAGGCGAUGAAGGACGUGAUAAGCUGCGAUAAGCUUCGGGUAGGUGCAAAUAACCUUUGAUCCGAAGAUUUCCGAAUGGGACAACCUAGCCGUCUGAAGGACGGUUACUCUUACCAAUGUAAGAGAGCUAACGCAGGGAACUGAAACAUCUUAGUACCUGUAGGAAGAGAAAAUAAAUUAAUGAUUCCCCCAGUAGUGGCGAGCGAACGGGGAACAGCCCAAACCAGUGGCGUCGCAAGGCGUGGCUGGG
Molecule: ribosomal RNA, 292 nt
Filed under: Segatella copri
Lineage: Bacteria; Pseudomonadati; Bacteroidota; Bacteroidia; Bacteroidales; Prevotellaceae
Description: partial 23S ribosomal RNA
Rfam family: Bacterial large subunit ribosomal RNA
Source: RNAcentral